Molecule: non-coding RNA, 127 nt
Organism: Methylobacterium platani
Lineage: Bacteria; Pseudomonadati; Pseudomonadota; Alphaproteobacteria; Hyphomicrobiales; Methylobacteriaceae
Source: Rfam
CGUCGGCCCUCCAAAGGCCGACACCGAAGAGGCUUGUUUCUCCUUGCCCCGAGUGCGGAUCGGGUUUCCCCGUUCCAAGCAAAGGCAGCUUCCGGGUGCUCUGCGCCCGCGUCGUACGGCGUGUCUC